AAGAUCAUGUUAAAAUCAAUUAUAAUAUGCUCAAAUAGGUAGACACUAAAAACCCCCACUAUUUCUCAAUAUUAAAAGCAUAUUAAAUAAUGCGUAAAAACCAUGCAAAAUUACCUCUACCCAAUAAAUCGUGAAUUAAAAAAAUAAAAUAUAUCAAUUGUGACCAUGCUUACAAACACCCCCACUAUAUCUCAAUUUAAUAAACAAUGCCCAUUAGUCGAUAUUUUUCAUGAAGUAUAUAAGUACUCGAAACAUAUUCUCAAAGACAGAGACAAAAAAAUAUCAACACACUUUUCACAAAUAUAUACGGGCUUACUUUAUAUAAUUCACUAUCUUCACUUAAUAGAAGUAUAAUAAUCCACUUAAUUCAUUUUGACCGGUGCACAAACGGUAAUAAAUCAAAAUGCAUGUUAAUAAAAUGCAAUUAAGCUCAUGUUGACCAAUUCAUUAAAACUAGUGUAUUUAAGAAAUAAACUUUUCAUCUUUACAAAAAUAUUUCUCAAUCUCAAGAAAAUUGGUUAUAGUUUUAGAGGUAGAAAAUAUUUAAGAACAAUGUUUAAAUAAUAAUAUAAUACCACUUUAUCAAAUCAGUAACAAAUUCUCAUAUCUCAAGUUCUCAUUUAAAUAGAUUAGUCCUUGCAAAAUAAAACUUUAUAAUCCAAUCACUCAUGAACAAAGAAUAAUUUGUUCUUUCAUUUUGGACCAAAAAGAAUUGUAUGCAAUGUGACUAAUUAGAGGAAUUAUUAUAUAGAGGUAAUCUCUGUAGCAUGUAACGGGAUAUAAAAUUAUUGAGCCGAGUUAUUCACAUAUAAUUAUUCAAUUCUUAAACACAUAAAACAAUUUCCAUUCAAACGUUUCAAUUUUUAAUGAUCAGUCAAUAUGAAAAAAAAACAUAAGCAAAUAACUUCACGUAGGAUGUUACUGUCGAUUUAACUUCAUAACGGUCCACCACUAAAAGCAAUUCAUUUUCUCAUACAUAACCGAAUAAGGCUCGUGCAAUUUAUAUAAUUUUGAUGAUGGUCAAACAUAUGAUAUUUUAUCCGGUUAGAAUUCAUGAGUGUAUUGCAUAUGCUAUAUAAACGAAGUCGACUAUAUGCUAACACAUCAAACAUGAUGAAUUCUAAAUAAUUAUUUAUUCAAAUCACGACAUAUUUCUUUUUAUCAUAUCCUUAUCAUGCACUAUUAUUAUACUACUGAAAAAACAUUGAAUAAUGUAGACACGAAGAAUAUACCUCAAAAACGCGCACAAUUUGGCAGCUGCAGCAGUGCUCCGUAUUUGGGGCAUAUCUCUCUCGUUCGAUGUCCGAUUUCAGUGAUUCAAGAUGUUUCGGACAGCCAACAUAAAUGCCUAAAGCUUUCGUGUUCUACACAUUCUCAAAUUCGGACAUUAUCAGGUCCGAAAUUUGACUCAAAGUCUGCACUCGUGAAUUGUACGAAAACUCACCUAUACCAAAAAAUAAGAUCGUUAAUUUUUCGUCAAAUCAAAAUAACAAUAAAA
Molecule: long non-coding RNA, 1498 nt
Filed under: Erythranthe guttata (spotted monkey flower)
Lineage: Eukaryota; Viridiplantae; Streptophyta; Magnoliopsida; Lamiales; Phrymaceae
Description: long non-coding RNA (EGUT_LNC002130)
Source: RNAcentral